RNAcentral lists this long non-coding RNA (293 nucleotides) under Ananas comosus (pineapple). RNAcentral describes it as "long non-coding RNA (ACOM_LNC011182)". The record is from RNAcentral. Lineage: Eukaryota; Viridiplantae; Streptophyta; Magnoliopsida; Poales; Bromeliaceae.
AGAAAAAAAGAAAAAAGCUAUUUGAGACCAGUAUCAAUAAGGCUUAGGCUUAGUUUGGUAUUGAGGUCUAUCUAACGCUAUUCAAUAAAAUGAAGUUGUGAAACAAGCAUAUAGGGAUAUGCUUCUGCGUUCUCCAGUGGGAUCGCAGAAAAUAUAGCGUAACCGACUCAUCGCGAUAUGCGCAAUAUUUCGUACGGAGCACGUAACGCAAUCUCCCCGCAAUCCCAAACGAAGCCUUAAUUAAUUAUUUAAUUACACUCUAUUGCACUGUAACUUUAUUUUAUUUUUUUAAU